CCUAAGGCAAAUGAAUUCCUUGAAAAUCUCUUGGGAGAAAAAGUGCAUUCAUAAUUUAAAUGACUAUGCUGCUAAUUUAUCUGUUACAAAAGCUCAGAACCUUGUGUCUCUUUUGUCUUUCAAAGUGAUAUACACUGAGGCUCCAAAAUUCUGCUCUAGAAAAAUUAUGGUGGAAAUCUCUUGGGAGCCCUGGGUUUGUGUGCCAAUUUUGUAGCCCUGGGCAAGUCACCUUAUUCCUUCGGGCCUCAGUUUCCCCACAUCUGUAGACCGGGGUGUGGAACGGCACCAAGGUCUUGCCUGGCUUCAACACUCUCCAUCUAGACUUAGGGCUAACGCUCACUGUUGCCUCCUUCCGGAAGGUGAAGAAGAUGCUGCUCCUGACAACACACUGAAUAAAUGAGCUUAUGCUGCUUUAGGUUUUUGCCAGACCAAAUGAAGUCAGUGCCUAAGACAACUUUGGAGUCAGACUUUUCAUGAUUAACCAACUCCGAAGGUAUAACAAUUGGCAUACAUUUAAAACAUCCCUUAAUUCAUAUUAUAAGUGGAUGAAUACUUGGAGUCCAGUUGCAGGUUCACCUACAAUCUAUAACCUUCCAUGUGGCUGGGUUAACCUUCUCCCUCUGUCUGCACCUUUCACUCAUUUAUCCGUAGAAGCAAUUAUCAGGCUGCAGAAAAUAUAAGGCACACAGAGCCUUCGAAAUACAACGUGGUAGGGGGAUUAAUUUGGCAAAUGACUUUUAAAAAGUCUGAUGUUGUAAAACAGUGUGAGGAGGUAAGUAGGCAGAGGAACAAGGGCACUCUCUCGCUUCUGCUCCUAAGCAGAAUUUUAUCCACACCUCUAUGUUAGCAGCCUCACCUCCUAAUGAAACAAGUCACGACACCUUAGCCAAUUCUGAUGGCUGAGUGAGGCUGUCCCGAUCGCACUCAGGACUGCCACUCUUUAGUACUGGCCAUGUGGUCUGCCAGAGUCCUUAGGGCCAAGCAGAUGGGCGGCUGGGUCCCCUUGUCCUCAUUCCAACCACCAUGUGGAUGUUUGCCAGACGCCAGCAAUGGCAACACCCUAGCAACUGACCCCGGACACCUGUCACCAGAGGCCCACUCACUUGGUCUCUGUCAGUUGCCAACAGCCCAGCCCCACCACCCCACAAAGUGCACACACGUGCACAUCUGUACAUGUGCACACAUGCACACACAGAUGCAUGCUGCCUGCGCUCUGCCUGUUUGAAAGCUGCAGUGCAUCUCAAACUGGCCUGGAGCAACCCCAGCUUCCCGGUGGGAGCAGGUGGUGAGAUGGACUCUUGGGGCACAUCUUAGCAUGAGGCAGGAAGGGCGAAGGCUGGCCCCAGGGACAGCCACACUGGCCUCCAGAGCAGAGGCUCAGUGCUCACUUCCCCCUCGCAGGAGUCUCUCCGCUUCUACUUGCAGGCAUUUGUGUUGACGCAGGGGUUCCUAUUGUCUUACACAAUCUCUGUGGAGUGUUGCCUGAGGGCUCCCUAAACUUCCAUGCCAUCAGCAAAUCCCAGAAUACCCACUUACAGAAAGCAUUGGAAUCUCACUUUUAAUUGCUCCAUUUUUAUGACUGAAAUAUGGGUUACCAUUUUACUUCCACAUCUGCCUUUUGUCAGUGUUGCCUCAUCUGUCUCCCAUCUAGAUAGUUUGUAGGCAGAAAAGAUUUGACCAAGAAAUUUUUUUUAUGUUUCCUAUUGAUCUCUCAAAUUGAUUAUUGGAUAACUUGUAAAAAUAAUUAUUGCCUAUUGAUUCAAGCUCCCGGAGACGGCAUGGUUUUCAUGAUGCACCUCUUCCGUUUUCCUUUGAGGAGAGCAUUUUCUCGCAUGCUUAAUUGUUGCUGUAACUGAGUUCAGUUUCCCUCCUCUCAUGUAGGGAACCCACAGCACUUAUUUUAUCUGUAAUAGAGUCUCUUUGUAUAAUGCAGAAUUUUGCCCCCCUUUUGAAAUAAAACUGUUUUUAAUAGAGGAA
This 1977-nucleotide non-coding RNA is filed under the name Pan troglodytes (chimpanzee). Lineage: Eukaryota; Metazoa; Chordata; Mammalia; Primates; Hominidae. The record is from RNAcentral.